UACACCAUUCAUGUAAAUGCUUGAAAACGACCAAAACUCAUGAGAGAGAGAGAGUAGAGAAGUAGAGAAGGAAACUGUAAAGCUCAGGAGGGAUAGCGCCAUGGCUAACUAGCUAGCUAGCUAACGAGCAUUUCUUCGAGUAUGUCAUAGCGCUAUCCAUCCUGAGUUUCACGGUUCCUUCUACCUACAAGCUUCGUUGUCUUCGUCGUCGUCUGAUCCAAUUUGUUUAAUUGCAGGCUUUUAGUGAUGAUUGUGGGAGUGGCCAUGUUGACAACUUGAGUCCAGACAAGAGAGGAGAGCCCUUUUCCACGUUUCUCGCACUUUCCUUUUCUCUUUCGAUUAAUUUCCCAAAAAUCAAACAAAAAUUAGCCU
This is a non-coding RNA of Salvia hispanica, 372 nucleotides long. Lineage: Eukaryota; Viridiplantae; Streptophyta; Magnoliopsida; Lamiales; Lamiaceae. The record is from RefSeq and is a predicted model, not a curated record.